UUCCUACUACACUUCCUGUUUGAAACCCGAAGGAAACAGUCCAGUAAUCCGCAACGUGAAUGAAGUUAAUUUCCAUGGUAGGCCUUAUCUUGGCCUUGUCUGGGGCUGCUUUGGGCCUAAGACAUAAAAUCUGUGGUCAAGAGCCGGCCCACAGCGGCCGUUGCCGUGCCUUAAUAGAAUCUUAUACCUAUUAUUCCGAUACGAACGAGUGUGCAUUGUUCGAUUACGGCGGAUGCGAGGGGAACGAGAAUCGUUUCAUGAGGAAAGCGGAAUGCGAGUCAAAAUGCAGAGAAUAAUUCAUUGUUUUUUAUUCUUAGUUCAUCAAAAGUUGUACGAAUAAAUGGAUAUUCAAUUGAAAAACUGAUAUCUACUUCAGACAAGUCGCUUCACAUCACCUGAAACACACAGGCCACUAAUCCGCAAUGAGUAUGAAGUUAAUUUCCAUAGUAGGCGUUAUCUUUGCCUUGUCUGGGGUUGCUAUUGGGCUCAAGAAUCGGAUCUGUGGUCAAAAAUCGGCCCACUUCGGGUACUGCAGUGGCUAUAAGAAAGGAUUUACCUAUUAUCCCGAGACGAACGAGUGCAAAAUGUUCGUUUACGGCCGAUGUGCUGGGAACAAAAAUCGUUUCAAGGAUAAAGCGGUCUGCGAGGCAAAGUGCAAGGAAUAAUAAAUAUUCUGAGUUGUACGAAAAA
RNAcentral lists this small RNA (690 nucleotides) under Drosophila pseudoobscura pseudoobscura. RNAcentral's name for it is "GA32605". Lineage: Eukaryota; Metazoa; Arthropoda; Insecta; Diptera; Drosophilidae. The record is from RNAcentral.